AUUGAACGCUGGCGGCAGGCCUAACACAUGCAAGUCGAACGGUAACAGAAAGCAGCUUGCUGCUUUGCUGACGAGUGGCGGACGGGUGAGUCAUGUCUGGGAAACUGCCUGAUGGAGGGGGAUAACUACUGGAAACGGUAGCUAAUACCGCAUAACGUCGCAAGACCAAAGAGGGGGACCUUCGGGCCUCUUGCAAUCGGCUGUGCCCAGAUGGGAUUAGCUUGUUGGUGGGGUAACGGCUCACCAAGUCGACGAACCCUAGCUGGUCUGAGCGGAUGACCAGCCACACUGGAACUGAGACACGGUCCAGACUCCUAAGGGAGGCAGCAGUGGGGAAUAUUGCACAAUGGGCGCAAGCCUGAUGCAGCCAUGCCGCGUGUAUGAAGAAGGCCUUCGGGUUGUAAAGUACUUUCAGCGGGGAGGAAGGGAGUAAAGUUAAUACCUUGGCUCAUUGACGUUACCCGCAGAAGAAGCACCGGCUAACUCCGUG
RNAcentral lists this ribosomal RNA (490 nucleotides) under uncultured bacterium. RNAcentral's name for it is "partial 16S ribosomal RNA". It matches the Rfam family "Bacterial small subunit ribosomal RNA", at positions 30 to 507 of the family's 1533-position model. The record is from RNAcentral.